UCCGUAGGCGGGCAAUUAAGUCAGAGGUGAAAUCCCACAGCUCAACUGUGGAACUGCCUUUGAUACUGGUUGUCUUGAGUUAUAGUGAAGUAGAUAGAAUAUGUAGUGUAGCGGUGAAAUGCAUAGAUAUUACAUAGAAUACCGAUUGCGAAGGCAGUCUACUAACUGUAUACUGACGCUAAUGGACGAAAGCGUGGAGAGCGAACAGGAUUAGAUACCCUGGUAGUCC
RNAcentral lists this ribosomal RNA (229 nucleotides) under uncultured bacterium. RNAcentral's name for it is "partial 16S ribosomal RNA". It matches the Rfam family "Bacterial small subunit ribosomal RNA", at positions 568 to 796 of the family's 1533-position model. The record is from RNAcentral.